Non-coding RNA from Zonotrichia albicollis (white-throated sparrow), 3122 nucleotides. Lineage: Eukaryota; Metazoa; Chordata; Aves; Passeriformes; Passerellidae. The record is from RefSeq and is a predicted model, not a curated record.
CAGCGCNGUGGCAUUUGCUGCCAGGAUUAACACUGCCUUUGUUUCCCAGCUCUGUUACCAAUACAAUAAUUCUGAUUUUCCAAGGAGGAUUUACCUGUCCAGCUGCACUUUCAGCAAAACCAAGCAGCCAAUGUGGGCACACAGCAGCUUGUUUGGGAGUUCUGGCUGAGUGAUCAGAGCUGCCACAGGGCUCCUGAGCCCCAGCCACAGCCUGGGCACCAGGCUUCUCAAUAUUGGACCAGUUAAGCUCAGGUGUAACACAUGACAGGAUCUGAACUCCUUCUUUUCUUGUUUAUUUUACAGAUACACUGCAUCUGACUGUUCCAGCUUUAAAACUCAGAACAAAAACCAAAAUGAGUGUAACCCUGCCCUUUUCGCAACAAAAUAAGGUACAUUUCUAAAUUUGAGUGACUUUUGCAGCACCACUACUAUUUAAUCUGGCAUAAGGAAUAUAAAAUGUUUUCUUUGCCUUCAGAGCUCCUUUGGCUGCUGGCAGCCCUUGAUAAUGAUUUCAUGCUCCUGCAAACAAGCACUUCUGAAAUGAAAGCCCCUCGCUGGUGUUGUCAUGUGAGAUUACAAUUCCCAGUUAGACAAGGGUGCUUUAGGAGGAUUGACAGAAUAAUACAAAAGAUUAUUGCAAUGUGUGUCAUCUUUUUAAAGGUACCCCAAGUGUAACUAAUGUGGCUUAAUAAGAAUAGGCUUAGUUUUACAGUAAACAGAAAAACAGAGGUAUGUUUCAGCUCUUGGGCUACUUUUGUUCACAACAAACAUUUCCCCAUCAUUAUGGUUUUGUUACCAGUAACACUUUGCUUGUUUUAAGCCUGAAUUUCAUAGCACAGUAGAUGCCUUUAUCAAGUUAAAUACUGAACUGGUAAAGUACACUCUGAGCCUUGAGAGGACUUCUUAAAAAUAUUAAAGUUAUGUUCAGAUAACAAUCAGAAGGCAGGAAAGAACCUUUGUAAAAACAAUCCAAUGGAAGUGCACCACACAAAGCAAUUAAGGUGUGCACAGAAUUUCUGGUGCAUUUCUUUCCAACACUGACUGAGAGUUUUUGAAGUUCUAAUGCUGUUGGCACAGACCCAGCAGUGCAGAAGAGCAGAAUAUUCCCAUGAGAAUUGUGCAAGCCUUAAGGACUUGUCCCAGAGAACUCCACCAAAGCCCUCUCAGCCUGGAGCUCAGCAAGCACAGAGUGCUUCAGGACCUUUCCUCAGCCUGCAGACAGCUUUGCUGUUUUCUCCUUGCAAACACCUAGGAACUAUUAAUAGUACCUGAUAGAGAAACAAGGUUGUGUAAGGGGGAAGAAAUUGGUUUAAUUUUCCAUGAACACUUGUGUUUCUGAUAAGUCAUCUGUUUAUCUAAGUUGGGAUUGAAGUGGCACUGUAACAAAACUGACCACAAGUAAUUCAUUUUACUCUUUGGAUAAAAAUGCUAAAUACAGCCUUAGUUUUUAGUAACUAACUAAAUCAGGCAAGAUUUUAUGUUCAGAUUUUUGUGUGCUGGCACUUGUGACAGGUACCAUACACAGAUAAAGAAAUGGACAGCAAAUGAGUAGACAGGAAAAAUAACAAAUCCCACUUUUAUUCUCCUUGCCAAGCAAUGCAAGCACCUUAUUUCAUUUCCUAACAGCCAUGACAACAGCAGCCCAUGGGUAACAGAGCCCUGCUGGGCAGAAGCUGUGUGCUCACCCUGAGGGGAACAAACUGUGUGCCAGCUGGGGCCAGGGCAGCUCAGCCCCAGAGCAGAGACCUCACUGCAGCCUGUGGCUGCCCAGGAGUGAAAGUGGCCUCCCCAGGGAAGUGAAACAGGAGCUCUGCCACAGCAGCCCAAGGAAAGGAGCUGGGGGUGCCCCAGUGUCAGGGGAUGAGCCCACAGCUCAGGACUUGCAAACAGACUUGGAUGAAAAGGGGCUGGAGUCAAGCAGAAUGCAGUGAGUUUAAAAUGAGUUUUACAGGAGGAGUUUUGGAGGGUUGCAGCAGGGAGCUCCACAGUCCUGCUGGACCCUCGGAGCUGUUUCUGUCCUGGUAGCCCAGCCCUGCUCCAGCAGCACAGCAGCACUCUGUGCUCAGAGCUCCAGGAGCAUUCCACCUGAGCCAGCCCAGCACACAGGGCUGGAGAGCCACAGGCAGCACAGAGAAUGCCUGAGCUCUCCCCUGCUAUGAGCCUGCACUCACAGGAAACAAACCAGAAAAUGUGAUUUUGUGCUGCUCUCCUCCCACUGCACCUUCAGCUUACCAAUCUGUGGGCACACAGCUGUCCCACAUCACCCAGGGCACUGCUGGGCAACUCAGCAUCUCUUGCAUUUGUUCAACACACACAAAAUGUGAGCAGUUUCAGUUUGCUUAGAGUAAUGUUGAAAUACUGCAAUAGCUACAGAAAAACUGAUCUAGAAAUAAAGUAGAUAAAAUGAUAGAAAAAUACCUACUUCAGUAUUAAUAUUCACAUAAACUUUUCUUAUUUCAUAGAUGGAAAAACUCAAGUAACAUCAAUUUAAACUGGUCAAAAUAUUGUUUGAGAGCAUUCCUUAGUAGUCAUUUUUCAUCUCUGAACUCCAAGAUGACUUCUCAUCCUCCCUCCUGCACAUGACCUGGCUGACAUCUCUACAAAGGAGAGCAGGGAGAAGAAAGCCAACUUUGAUGCAGGUAAGAACAGGGAAGCACACCAUGAGCCUUCUGACAGGCAUUAUCCCAGCCUCCAGCCAUUAGCUCCUGAGAAACUUCCUGAGCCAAGGAUGGCUUCUCUGUGCUUAAUCAAGGCAGCAGCUCUCCUCUCCACGAGCCUGUGUAACCUGCCUCUGAACCCGGGUCAGCUUUGAGGAUGCACAGCAUCCCGUGGCAGAGAGCUCCACAGGCAAUGGCACAGUGGGCAGGGCUGCCUCCAGUGCCUGCUUUGAACCAGCCUGUCUGAGCCUGCCUCCUUCCACCUUGUUCCAGGAACCAGCACAGACAGCCCAGCUCCAUCCAUCCCUGAUCCACAGACAGCUGAGCUCCAUCCAUUCCUGCUGCAGAGAGAGCUGAGCUCCAUCCAUCCCUGAUCCACAGACACCUCAGCUCCAUCCAUUCCUGAUCCACAGACACCUCAGCUCCAUCCCGUUUCCAUCCCAUUCCUGCUGCAGUAACAGUGGA